UACGUAGGGUGCAAACGUUGCUCGGAAUUAUUGGGCGUAAAGCGCACGUAGGCGGCAUUGCAAGUCGGAUGUGAAAUCCCUCGGCUUAACCAAGGAAGUGCAUCCGAAACUGCUGUGCUUGAGUACUUAAGAGGAUCGCGGAAUUCCCGGUGUAGAGGUGAAAUUCGUAGAUAUCGGGAGGAACACCAGUGGCGAAGGCGGCGAUCUGGGAAGAUACUGACGCUGAGGUGCGAAAGCGUGGGGAGCAAACAGG
Molecule: ribosomal RNA, 253 nt
Filed under: uncultured bacterium
Lineage: Bacteria
Description: partial 16S ribosomal RNA
Rfam family: Bacterial small subunit ribosomal RNA
Source: RNAcentral